This 197-nucleotide ribosomal RNA is filed under the name uncultured bacterium. RNAcentral describes it as "partial 16S ribosomal RNA". It matches the Rfam family "Bacterial small subunit ribosomal RNA", at positions 328 to 539 of the family's 1533-position model. The record is from RNAcentral.
ACGCUCGACACCUACGGGGGCAGCAGUGGGGAAUAUUGCACAAUGGGGGAAACCCUGAUGCAGCGACGCCGCGUGAAGGAUGAAGUAUUUCGGUAUGUAAACUUCUAUCAGCAGGGAAGAAAGUGACGGUACCUGACUAAGAAGCCCCGGCUAACUACGUGCCAGCAGCCGCGGUAAUCUGAGCGGGCUGGCAAGGC